GGCGCUCGUAAAGUACGGACUAUUGGGUUAUAAACAUAUUCAUGGAUGAAGUUGAAUCCAAUCAAAAACAUCACAGGAAGGUAGUCAUAACGACACAAAACAAAAGCAAGUAAACAAUCAGGAAAAGCGGAUCGAGAACAUUAAAUCCUAUUUGGCGCAUUUCUGCAUUCGGGCAAAAGUCAGCGCUGAGACGUGCCGAGACUGUAAUCAUCUUAGAAUUCCAAAUCCAGGACAGACAAACCGCACAGAUCAGGAGGAUGGGGUGUAACAACAGCAAAGGCGCAGCAACUAGCGGCCCAACAGAAGGCAGCGGGCAACAAGAGCAACCUCCCGCAACACAGACAUCAGAACCCGAACCAGCACAGACCACAGAGGCACCCGCAGAAUCUGAACAAACAGAACAAACAGCAGAAUAACAAUAGGAAUAAAUCCAUAGGUCAUUAUCAAUUAUGUAUCACUGGAGCAGUAAAACACAGGAAUCUUAUUGGCAAACUCUUAUUUUCUUAGACUCAUUUCUUUAUACUACUCAGAAGACACCGGAAUUGUAUCAUACCAGUGAAAAGCAUCAGACCCCUUCAAAGGGGGGGUAAUCCGUCCAGGACUUUAAUUAUUUUAUAUUGAGCAAUUUUUUCUUAUUCCUCUGUGAUACUUUUUUUCUUCAACCACAGUGAGUGUGGAUGAAUUUUCUGGGAGACUUAUUUAAAUUUUCUGUGAUGGAUGGUAGUUGUGGGAGAAUGUGUGAGUUGAAAUGCAUACAGUUUUAGGAAAUUGUGCAUUUAAUGUUACGCUGUGAUCUCUACCAGUAUUAAUAUAGGCCACACUGAUAUUUUACUAGCUGCAAAUAGGCCUUUAUAAUGUAUAGACAUGUUUAUGUUGUCGUGAUUAAAUUCUAUCUUUAAUUCAAAUACUAGUUAAGUAGCAGUGUAAUAAAAGGGGUUAUUAUUAUCAAUGGGAUUAUAUAUGUUUAACAGAUAAUAAAUUAUUAGACACAC
Molecule: long non-coding RNA, 992 nt
Organism: Ostrea edulis (European flat oyster)
Lineage: Eukaryota; Metazoa; Mollusca; Bivalvia; Ostreida; Ostreidae
Exons: 3
Source: RefSeq, a predicted model, not a curated record